RNAcentral lists this small RNA (523 nucleotides) under Pongo abelii (Sumatran orangutan). RNAcentral describes it as "retained intron". Lineage: Eukaryota; Metazoa; Chordata; Mammalia; Primates; Hominidae. The record is from RNAcentral.
UGGGCAUUGACAGCGGGCGACUGCAGGAGAAGCUGACCAGCCGCAAGAUGGACAGCCGCUGGGGUGGGCGCAGCGAGUCCAUCGAUGUGACCCUCAACGUGGAGCAGGCAGCCUACACCCGUGACGCCCUGGCCAAGGGGCUCUAUGCCCGCCUCUUCGACUUCCUCGUGGAGGCCAUCAACCGUGCUAUGCAGAAACCCCAGGAAGAGUACAGCAUCGGUGUGCUGGACAUUUACGGCUUCGAGAUCUUCCAGAAAAACGGCUUCGAGCAGUUUUGCAUCAACUUCGUCAAUGAGAAGCUGCAGCAAAUCUUUAUCGAACUCACCCUGAAGGCCGAGCAGGUGGGCAGCCAAGCAGUCAGGGAUGGGGGAUCCUGGGGUGGGGGUGGGGUGGAAGGACCAUGAGGAUCCCUUAGCAACUAGGGGACACCCCAGCCCUCUCCACCGCAUUCCCACCUCUCUGUGCCAACCUACCCAGGCUCCAUAGUGAUACUUCCUUCUGCCUCUAAAGCUUUGGGAAGGAC